CUACGGGCGGCAGCAGUGGGGAAUUUUGCACAAUGGGGGAAACCCUGAUGCAGCGACGCCGCGUGCGGGAAGAAGGCCUUAGGGUCGUAAACCGCUUUCAAUUGUGAAGAAGGGAUGAGAGUUAAUAGCUUUCUGACUUGACGGUAGCAUUAGAAGAAGCACCGGCUAAUUUCGUGCCAGCAGCCGCGGUAAUACGAAAGGUGCAAGCGUUGUUCGGAUUUACUGGGCGUAAAGAGAUCGUAGGUGGUUUAUUAAGUCGGAUGUGAAAUCCCGGAGCUCAAAUUCGGAACUGCAUUCGAUACUGGUAGGCUAGAGUUCGGGAGGGGAAAGCGGAAUUCCGUGUGUAGCAGUGAAAUGCGUAGAUAUACGGAGGAACACCUGAGGCGAAGGCGGCUUUCUGGACCGAUACUGACACUGAGGAUCGAAAGCGUGGGUAGCAAACAGGAUUAGAUACCCGAGUAGUC
This 464-nucleotide ribosomal RNA is filed under the name uncultured bacterium. RNAcentral's name for it is "partial 16S ribosomal RNA". It matches the Rfam family "Bacterial small subunit ribosomal RNA", at positions 339 to 795 of the family's 1533-position model. The record is from RNAcentral.